Molecule: non-coding RNA, 197 nt
Filed under: Anaerobium acetethylicum
Lineage: Bacteria; Bacillati; Bacillota; Clostridia; Lachnospirales; Lachnospiraceae
Source: RNAcentral
GAGAACUGAACACAUGAAUUGUCGAAUGACAGGGUAACGCCUUGAAAGGCAUCCUUAAUCCUCCGACUUGCAUGGAUAUGAGUAAACAUUGAAAUGUAAGAAGCUCGGUGAAGUCGGCAGAAAGGCACCGUAACAGUUUGGCUGACGAAAGCUACCCAGAGGUGGGCGGUGUGUCUGAUAUGCCGGAGGUCUAUAAG